GUAGGGAAUAUUGGACAAUGGGGGGAACCCUGAUCCAGCCAUGCCGCGUGGAGGAAGACUGCCCUCUGGGUUGUAAACUCCUUUUAUAUGGGAAGAACCGUCCUCAUUAAUGAGUGACCUGACGGUACCAUAGGAAUAAGCACCGGCUAACUCCGUGCCAGCAGCCGCGGUAAUACGGAGGGUGCAAGCGUUAUCCGGAUUCACUGGGUUUAAAGGGUGCGUAGGCGGAUAAAUAAGUCAGUGGUGAAAUCAACGGGCUCAACCUGUUAACUGCCAUUGAUACUGUGUAUCUUGAAUAUGAGAGAGGUAGGCGGAAUGUUGCAUGUAGCGGUGAAAUGCUUAGAUAUGCUACGGAACACCGAUUGCGAAGGCAGCUUACUAUUUCAUGAUUGACGCUGAGGCACGAAAGCGUGGGUAGCGAACAGGAUUAGAUACCCUGGUAGUCC
RNAcentral lists this ribosomal RNA (446 nucleotides) under uncultured bacterium. RNAcentral's name for it is "partial 16S ribosomal RNA". It matches the Rfam family "Bacterial small subunit ribosomal RNA", at positions 354 to 796 of the family's 1533-position model. The record is from RNAcentral.